CUGACUGCUGUUGCUCUCUGCACGAGCAAAAUCCUGUUUGAUAUGGCUCUCUUGCUGCUGGUGUUAUUUAUAGCUGUUCUUACCUUCCACCAGACUGGGCAUCUCUUUUUGUUUAAGCAUGUUCAGCUCCGGAUGUUGCUUCAGGUUCUUGCCCUAGGAUGCUGGUUCCUCCUAGGUCCCUUUGGCUCUACUUGUGGAGAAAGAGAAAGCAACAAUAAUUUUCCCUUGUGCCCUCCUGGUGUAAAAGAAAUGCUGCUUGCCACUUCUGGUUGGAAUCCAUUAAGUUGACUUCUAAUGGCCACAAAGUUGCAUUUUCUCCACAUUACUGAAGCAAGUAGAAAUUCCAAAGGCAGCUACUGAUGUACAAGCACUACAGCUAAUGGCAGACAGGCAAACAAGCUGUGCUGGUGGAAGGCAAACACUGGGAAAAGAAAGGAAGAGAAAAACCUAAAUUAAUGAGAUGAUGGUGACACACACACACACACAAAACCCCCCAAAUUAAAAAAACCUGAGAAGGAGAGCUUCCCCCUUAUUGUUGGGUUUUAGUGCUAAGGAUCUCCUCAUUAUCUACUGAGGUAACCACAUGAUAUAAAGUAUAUUCAUUGUGCAUACAUUUUGUAUGCAUAUGAAGUAUAAACCAUUGGAUUUCUUCUAACAGCAUUCACUUGGUUCAUUUCUUUCAUUUCUUGGUUCAACACUAAUUUAGUGGUGGGAAGAUGGAGUUAACACGACUGAGGCUUAAACUCACUCAGGUCACAUCAGAAGCCACAGAGGAG
RNAcentral lists this long non-coding RNA (776 nucleotides) under Parus major (Great Tit). RNAcentral's name for it is "lncRNA (ENSPMJG00000014896.1)". Lineage: Eukaryota; Metazoa; Chordata; Aves; Passeriformes; Paridae. The record is from RNAcentral.